Molecule: transfer RNA, 72 nt
Filed under: Alkalibacterium gilvum
Lineage: Bacteria; Bacillati; Bacillota; Bacilli; Lactobacillales; Carnobacteriaceae
Also listed under: 1 other name
Description: tRNA_Glu_TTC
Rfam family: tRNA
About the family: Transfer RNA (tRNA) molecules are approximately 80 nucleotides in length. Their secondary structure includes four short double-helical elements and three loops (D, anti-codon, and T loops).
Source: RNAcentral
GGCCCCUUGGUCAAGCGGUUAAGACACCGCCCUUUCACGGCGGUAACACGGGUUCGAACCCCGUAGGGGUCA